GGACAACACUUACCACAGGUCUGCACAGGCUAAUCUGGGACAACACUUACCACAGGUCUGCACAUGCUAAUCUGGGACAACACUUACCACAGGUCUGCACAGGCUAAUCUGGGACAACACUUACCACAGGUCUGCACAGGCUAAUCUGGG
This is a long non-coding RNA of Dreissena polymorpha, 150 nucleotides long. RefSeq lists it as uncharacterized. The record is from RefSeq and is a predicted model, not a curated record. The transcript is spliced from 3 exons. Lineage: Eukaryota; Metazoa; Mollusca; Bivalvia; Myida; Dreissenidae.